GUGCAAUUGAGUACUUAUGCAAAGCUUCACGGAAUUCAGUGAAGCUAUUAAACCUUUGAUCAACACCAGUAAUCGUGUUCUCCCACUGUUGUGC
This 94-nucleotide small RNA is filed under the name Salix viminalis (osier). Lineage: Eukaryota; Viridiplantae; Streptophyta; Magnoliopsida; Malpighiales; Salicaceae. The record is from RNAcentral.